RNAcentral lists this ribosomal RNA (575 nucleotides) under Trigonopterus sp. 150 MB-2011. RNAcentral describes it as "partial 16S ribosomal RNA". The record is from RNAcentral. Lineage: Eukaryota; Metazoa; Arthropoda; Insecta; Coleoptera; Curculionidae.
AGAUAGAAACCGACCUGGCUCACACCGGUUUAAACUCAGAUCAUGUAAAAUUUUAAAGGUCGAACAGACCUAAUUUACUAGCACCUUCACCAGUAAUUCAUUUUAAUCCAACAUCGAGGUCGCAAUCUUUUCCUUCGAUAAGAACUCUAGAAAAAAUUACGCUGUUAUCCCUAAGGUAAUUUUAUCUUAUAAUCUAAAAAUUAGGAUCCUUUAUUCAUAAAUUAAUGAUUAUUUUUAAAAAAAGUUAAUUAAAUUUUUCUAUCACCCCAACAAAAUAUUUAUCUAAAUAAAAAAAAGUCUAAUUCAAAUCAUCUAGUUUAUUAAAUAAAUAUAAAACUCUAUAGGGUCUUCUCGUCUUCUAUUUAAAUUUAAGCUUUUUUACUUAAAAAUAAAAUUCUAUUUAAUUUUCAAAGAGACAGAAAUUUUUUCAUCUAACCUUUCAUACAAGCUUUCAAUUAAAAAACAAAUGAUUAUGCUACCUUUGUACAGUUAAAAUACUGCAGCCAUUUAAUUCUUCAUUGGGCAGGCCAAACUUAAAAUUAUUUUCGAUAAGCCAUGUUUUUAAUAAACAGGCG